CCUACGGGUGGCAGCAGUGGGGAAUAUUGGUCAAUGGGCGCGAGCCUGAACCAGCCAAGCAGCGUGAAGGAUGACUGCCCUACGGGUUUUAAACUUCUUUUAUAAAGGAAUAAAGUGAGGCAUGUGUGCCUUUUUGUAUGUACUUUAUGAAUAAGGAACGGCUAACUCCGUGCCAGCAGCCGCGGUAAUACGGAGGAUCCGAGCGUUAUCCGGAUGUAUUGGGCUUAAAGGGAGCGUAGAUGGGUUGUUAAGUCAGUUGUGAAAGUUUGCGGCUCAACCGUAAAAUUGCAAUUGAUACUGGCAGUCGUGAGUACAGUAGAGGUAGGCGGAAUUCGUGGUGUAGCGGUGAAAUGCGUAGAUAUCACGAAGAACUCUGAUUGCGAAGGCAGCUUACUAGACUGCCACUGACGUUGAUGCUCGAAAGUGUGGGGAGCAAACAGGAUUAGAUACCCUGGUAGUC
Molecule: ribosomal RNA, 460 nt
Filed under: uncultured bacterium
Lineage: Bacteria
Description: partial 16S ribosomal RNA
Rfam family: Bacterial small subunit ribosomal RNA
Source: RNAcentral